This 400-nucleotide ribosomal RNA is filed under the name uncultured Rhodococcus sp. RNAcentral describes it as "bacterial SSU rRNA". It matches the Rfam family "Bacterial small subunit ribosomal RNA", at positions 338 to 750 of the family's 1533-position model. The record is from RNAcentral. Lineage: Bacteria; Bacillati; Actinomycetota; Actinomycetes; Mycobacteriales; Nocardiaceae.
CCUACGGGAGGCAGCAGUGGGGAAUAUUGCACAAUGGGCGCAAGCCUGAUGCAGCGACGCCGCGUGAGGGAUGACGGCCUUCGGGCUGUAAACCUCUUUCAGCAGGGACGAAGCGAAAGUGACGGUACCUGCAGAAGAAGCACCGGCCAACUACGUGCCAACAGCCGCGGUAAUACGUAGGGUGCAAGCGUUGUCCGGAAUUACUGGGCGUAAAGAGCUCGUAGGCGGUUUGUCGCGUCGUCUGUGAAAACUCGAGGCUCAACCUCGAGCUUGCAGGCGAUACGGGCAGACUUGAGUACUGCAGGGGAGACUGGAAUUCCUGGUGUAGCGGUGAAAUGCGCGGAUAUCAGGAGGAACACCGGUGGCGAAGGCGGCUCACUGGACCGACACUGACGCUGAG